CCCAUGUCAUGUGUCAGCUUUCUUCUACAUGAAAAUGCAGUUUACGAUCGGUAUAUCAUGUAUCCAAUGGAUAAAUAUGGUUAUCAUACAUGUCUGUGUCCAUGUAACCAUAUAUCCAAGGUACAGAAAUGUGGCUAUCAUAUACGUCUUGGUCAAGAAAAAUCCUAUAUAAAUUCCAGUCAGUCAUAGUUGAGAAACGAAAACACAUAGCUUUAGCGUGACCAUUUCACUUUCACACAAUCUAGCACUUCCAGUGAGAGAGAAGAGAAGAGAAGAAAAAUGAUUGGUCCAGCCAAGAACUCCGUUCCUGCUACUAAUCCCACCAAGAAACUUCUUCUCUCCCCGGAUUCCAUCAUCAAUCUCGACCAUGGCGAUCCGACGAUGUUCGAGCCGUACUGGAGGAAACUCGGUGAAAAGUGUACGGUGGAGAUUUCAGGCAGUGAUUUGAUGAGUUACUGCAGUGACAUUGGGAACAUAUGCUGGUUUCUAGAGCCCCAACUCUCCGACGCGAUCAAAAGGCUGCAUCGUACGGUUGGAAAUGCAGUAUCAGAGGAUCGAUACGUGGUGGUGGGGACGGGCUCAACGCAGCUAUAUCAGGCUGCGCUCUUCGCUCUUACUUCUCCUGGUGGGGCCGAAGCUGACCCCAUCAGCGUUGUGUGCGCCGCUCCUUACUACUCGUCAUAUCAAGAGGAGACAGACUUUCUGCGAUCAGGGCUCUAUAAAUGGGCAGGUGAUGCGUAUUCCUUUGAUAAGGAUGGACCUUACAUAGAGAUUGUCACCUCACCAAACAAUCCUGAUGGUGCUAUUCUAGAAGCUGUGGUGAACCGAAAGGAAGGGAAGCUUAUCCAUGAUCUUGCCUAUUACUGGCCACAAUACACACCCAUUACUCACCCUGCAGAUUAUGAUAUCAUGCUGUUUACAUUUUCCAAAAGCACUGGACAUGCUGGUUCUCGAAUUGGAUGGGCUCUUGUUAAUGAUAAAGUGGUGGCUAGGAAGAUGACUAAAUUCAUAGAGGUUAGCUCCACUGGUGUGUCUAAAGAAUCGCAGCUCCGAGCUGCAAAGAUCCUAGGAGUUGCUAUUGAAGGUUGCCAGCAUUCUGAUUCGGAGAACUUCUUCAAGUACGGCCAGUGCCUGAUGGCUGAAAGAUGGGAGAAACUGCGAGAUGUUGUUAAAAACAGUCAAAUUUUCAGUCUGCCCAAGUACCCACAAGAAUGGUGCAACUUCAUCAGCAAGUACUCAGAAUCACAUCCUGCCUUUGCAUGGUUGAAGUGCAAGGAGGAUACAAACUGUGAAAGUCUUCUAAGAGCACAUAAGAUACUGACAAGAGGCGGAGAGCGUUUCGGAGUUGGCCAAGAGUACGCCAGGAUUAGCUUGCUCAGUCGAGAACGAGAUUUUAACCAAUUUCUAGAGAGGCUAUCAGGAAUAAAAACUGCGGGGCAGGGAAUCAGAACCACCUGAAUUUUAGACAUAUUAAGAGGGCAUGGUAAUUUUAUAUUUAGAACCCCAAGGAUGAUAAUGUAGCUUUGAUUUAUCCAUCUGAAGGUUUAGGUCUUACCAUCUGCAGCUUUGAAUUUUGGUAAACACAGUUAGGUUACCUUUGAAUCUGUGUAUACACAGUGGAAUCCUGACAGGAUUUACACAAUUACCCUAUUAAUAGUUGCUGCAAUAAUAAGGUGUCUUAUCAAGCAGUGGAAUACAGCAAAGUUUAAUAAUCCAUAAGAAACAAGAAUUCCAUAAUAAG
RNAcentral lists this unclassified non-coding RNA (1741 nucleotides) under Hevea brasiliensis (rubber tree). Lineage: Eukaryota; Viridiplantae; Streptophyta; Magnoliopsida; Malpighiales; Euphorbiaceae. The record is from RNAcentral.